UUUGGGGCUGAGAUCUCCUCUCCAUCGGGAUUAGAACCCACGGGCCGGUGGUCGCCCAUCCUCUGCCCUUAAGCGCUUAGUACAGUGCUUGCACACAGUAAUCGCUUAAUAAAAACAUGGCCGAAUUGGUCCCAGUUAGACGAUGGGUUCCAUGUGGAUUGUGUCCAACCUGAAUACCUUGAAUCGACCCCGGUGCUUAGAAUAGUGCUUGACACAUAAGGUCAUUAUAAAAUAACUGUAUACUUAAUUUAAAAAGUUAAUAGCGAAUAAAUGAGAGAAACUACAGGGAGCGAUUUGAGGGAACAGGGUACAAUUUUAGGGAGCGUAGAUUCCCUGGUGGUCUAGUGGCUAGGAUUCGGCGCUUUCACCGCCGCGGCCCGGGUUCGAUUCCCGGUCAGGGAAAUCCAUUUUUCACCAUGAUCCGUUGUUCUCAUUCAAUCCCCUCUCUCCCAUUUGCCUAUUUGACCUUUUAGGGAAUUGAGGGAACCCGAGCUCACUGUGGUCACCACGCUGAGGCGAGCCAGGGGAGGGCAAAGGAAGUCGUUCACUCCUGCUCCUAUGGACCUCUCCCUUGCUCGGUUUAUAGAACACGGUAAGAGCUCAGUAAGUCAUACUGAUGAAUUGAUUGCUUAUAGGUUUUGAGGACCGUUUUGACGAUUGCAGAAUUGUGGAAAACCUCUCGGUGCUGGCUGAAUAAUCAUUUACCCUUGGUGUCCUAUUGAGAUUCAUCAAGGAAAAGGAAGAUGGAAAUGGACACCGGUUUCUAUGUGGCCAGGAAUCCUUGGAUCCCGUGUCAUUCUCCGCAGAUCCUCGCGGCUGAGGCCUCGGAGGAAAUUCCUUAAAAACCCAGGACCGGCCCAGUUCCUUUCGGAAACCCUCAGGGGUUCCAGUUUGCUUCAUUCAUUCAUUCAAUCGUAUUGAUUGGGCGCUUACUGUGUGCACAGCACGGUAUUUAAGCGCUUGGAAAGUACAACUCGGCAACAAAUAGAGACAACCCCUACCCAACAACAGGCUCACGGUCUAGAAGCGGGGGAGGCAGACAACAAAACCAAACAGGUACAGGUAAACGGGCAUCGAUAGCAUCAAUAGAAAUAGAAUGAUAGAUAUUUGCACAUUUAUUAACAAAAUAAGUAGAAUAAUAUGUACAUAUAUAUAUAUCCAAG
RNAcentral lists this transfer RNA (1163 nucleotides) under Ornithorhynchus anatinus (platypus). RNAcentral describes it as "lncRNA (ENSOANG00000045420.1)". The stretch from base 331 to 402 matches the Rfam family "tRNA". The record is from RNAcentral. Lineage: Eukaryota; Metazoa; Chordata; Mammalia; Monotremata; Ornithorhynchidae.